CCUCAGCCUCCUGAGUAGCUGGGAUUACAGGCACCCACCACCAAGCCUGGCUAAUUUUUUGUAUUUUUUUUUUUUUUAGUAGAGGCGGGGUUUCACCAUGUUAGCCAGGAUGGUCUCGAUCUCCUGACCUUGUGAUCUGCCCACCUUGACCUCCCAAAGUGCUGGAAUUACAGGUGUGAGCCACUGCACCCGGCCAACAGUAACAUAUCUCUAAGAAGCUAAAGAGAGCUGGUCACUCCAUUAUGGAGGUGACUGAAGAGAUCACAAACCAUCAGGAAGCCAAUGGUGUCCAGCUUACAAUUUCUGAAACGAAGGUCAGUCUAAAUUUUAUAUCUGAUCCCUGAGGAAGAAAUCCAUGAAAGCCAAAAAAUAAUCCCUAGCUCUUUCUCCUCAUAGCCCUCCCCAGUGCUGAUGCAGAGAGAACCAGAUGGAGUUGGGGGUUCCCCGUUUAAUAAAUCUAAUCCCAUUCUCUACGAAUACGUGCCAAAUUGCCUUUUGCUGAAACAAAUUUUCCACAUGCCGUUUUCUCUCAAGAGUUUGUGGUCCUGGCAUGUCUUCAAUAGCCCGUUUUGUUCAUACCUACAAAGGAGCUGAAGGGGCCUUCUCAGUGUCAUUUAGAAUUCAAACAUCGGGCAUCCUGGGGUGUGAGCAGACAUAAAUGAUGUACAUGGUAUUUGAACAUGACCAUGCUGUUGGCUAAUUUGGUCUUUUGCUUCUAACUUGGCUGUCUUUGCCAAGUACCUGGCUCCACACCUUUUUCCUGGUGGGCCCACAGCUCCACCAAGUCUCCUGGAAAACAGGUGGCACUUCCCUUCCUCGCGCUUCUCUUUUUAGUUCCGUACUCCCUUCACUCACAUCCUAGCAGGCCUCUAUUUGAAGUGACCUCUGCUUCCAAGGGAGCUUGAAUGAUAAUGAUCGACAGAUCUGGUAUCUCCCUCGCUCAUAGAUGUGGAUAGUCUGCAAUAGGUGAUAUUCUUCUGACUCCUACUUCAGUGCUCUCCUACUCAGUGAAACUCCAUGUGUUUCUAAAAGGACUUCGGAGCAACUGAGACACACAUAGAUAGAUAGACAGACAGAUAGAUAAAUAGGUAGAUAAGUAGAUAGAUAAUGGAUGGAUCGAUCCAUGAAAGGGCAGGAGACAUUGUGUAUAGGUUUGUGUGUGGUGUUUGUUCAUGUUGUGAAGACAGAGGCAUAAGCUAUCAUAAGGAGAGAAGAACAAUGGGAAAGGAGGAGGAGGACAGAAUUUUAUCUGAGGCAGGGAAGUGAACAAAAGGACAAACUAGGGUGGGCGUGGUGGCUCACAGCUGUCAUCCCAGCUCUUUGGGAGGCUGAGGCAGGAGGAUUGCUUGAGUCCAGGAGUUUGAGACCAGCCUGGGCAAUACAGUGAGACCCCAUCUCCAUAAAAAUUAAACAUUAGCCAAGUGUGGUGGUGCACACUUGUAGUCCCAGUUCCUCAGGAGGCUGAGGUGGGAGGAUUGCAGGAGCCCUACCGUUCGAGGCUGUAGUGAGCUGUGAUUGUGCCACUGCACUCCAGCCUGGGUAAGAGAGACACCCUGUCUCAAAAAAAAAAAAAAAAAAAAGACAAACCAUAUCAAAACGUAUUUCAAAUGAAAGCCUGGUUGAAAACUUAGAAAUGUUUCAUCUGAAGAGUAGAUAUGACAACCCCUUUCACUUAUGUCACCCUGAAUAACUUUUAAAUUAGCCAAGGAGGUUUAAUUUCUUAGAAAUUGGGUGGUAGUAAGAGAAUAUUUGAAAGAUCCAGGAGUCUAUCUCUACAGAACAUAAGUCUCUGAAUUGCAUGUUUUCCUUUGUGACCUUAUCUUGAAAUUUCAGCCACUUGAAGCAGAGUAUAAUAUACAGCUGAACAACAAAGGCAAAGCCCUCUUUUGUCCACAACAUUAAUCUUUGUCCAGCUGUUGUAAUAGAAGUGAUUUUUAAAGUUAAUUAUUAUAAAAUUUGUCCAUAUUCAUUGGUUAAAAAAUAGAAAACACAAAUAAGCAAAACAAAAAUACCAAUAAUCUCACUACAUUAACAUUUUGGUAUUUAUUCUCCCAAAGAUUUUUCUGUGAUAAUGAUAUAUAUUCUUUUCGUACAAAAUGGGAUCAUAUUUUAUAUAUUGUUCUGUAAUCUGCUUUUCUCACUCUCAUUCACAUGUAAACAUCUGUCUCUGCUAAUAAAUAUACAAUAUCUUUUUAGUGGCUACAUAGCUUUCCAUUGUCUCACUAAAUCAAAAACUUUUUUUAGCCAAUCCCUUAUUGUUAAACAUUUAGGCUACUUCAAAUUUUUAAUUUUUAUUUAUUAUAAACAUUGCUACAUCUUUGGAAACUUCCAAUAGUUACCUUUGCAUGUAUCUCUAGAAAAGGAAUUGUUAGGUCAAAUUAUAUACAAUUUUAAAGCUUUAAUGGCCCAUUGUCAAAUUAUCCCCCUUUCCUAGAAAUUUUUACAAUUUACAUUCUUCCAACACUACUCUUUAGGGAACUAUCCUUUUCCCCACAUCCUCUCCAACAUUGAAUAUUAUUAUUUUCUUUUUUUGUGUGAGUCCAAUAGGUGAAAAUGGUUUCAUAUUUACUGUUACUCUUUUAUUACCACAAAGAAUAAACCUUUUACAAAGCUUAGUUGGUAAUUUUAAUUUCUUCCUUUGCUGAAUUGCUUAUUAAUAGUCUCUGAUCAUAUUUAAAGUGGAACAAUUAUUAUUGUAUUUUUAGAUAGGCUCUUGCCAUGUCACCCAGGCUGGAGUGCAGUGGCAAGAUCUUAGCUCACUGCAGCCUCGACCUCCUGGGCUCCAGCAAUCCUACCACCUCAUCUCCCCUUCCCCCAGUAGCUGGGACUACAGUUGUGUGCCACAACACCUAGCUAACUUUUGUGGAGACAGGGUCAUGCCAUGUUGUCUAGGCUGGUCUCGAACUCCUGGGCUCAAGCAAUCCACACACCUCAGCCUCUCAAAGUGCUGGGGUUACAGGUGUGAGCCACCAUGGCCAGCCAGCCUAUUGUGUUUUUUGAAGUACAAGAACAUUGAGUUUUUAAUGUAGUUAAAUCUAUCCCCCUUUUUUUUUUUUUUUUUUUUUUUUUUUUUGAGACAGAGUCUCGCUCUGUCACCCAGGCUGGAGUGCAGUGGUGCUAUCUCGGCUUGCUGCAAGCUCCACCUCCCAGGUUCACACCAUUCUCCUGCCUCAGCCUCCCAAGUAGCUGGGACUACAGGUGUCUGCCACCAUGCCCGGCUAAUUUUUUUGUACUUUUUUAGUAGAGGUGGGGUUUCACCAUGUUAGCCAGGAUGGUCUCGAUCUCCUGACCUCGUGAUCCGCCCGCCUCGGCCUCCCAAAGUGCUGGGAUUACAGGCGUGCACCACAGUGCCCGGCCAAAUCUAUCCUUUUCAAAUAUGAUUUCUGACUUGUGUGUCAUGCUUUCAAACUCGUUCCCUCCUUAAAGCUAUAUAAUAUUUUUCUAUAUUUUUUCUGGCUUUUUUUCUUUCUUUUUAACACUCAAACUCACCUGGAGUAUAUUUUAGUAUAAAGCAUGAGGUUGAGCUCUAAAUUUCCCCCCAAAUGUUAGUCAGUUGUCCCAAGACUAUUUAUUAAAUAAUGCACUUGCUAUGAAAUGUUAAUUCUAGUUUGAUUCCAAGUGUACACUGUUUUAAUUGUUGAUCAAGCAUGACACGCUCCCUGUGAAGUCCCCACCCUUAUUCCAUCUUACAAUUUCACUUUUUCCUUCUUUUAGAAUUAUCCUGGCUAUUUGUAACCAGUUAUUCUUCCAGAUGAAAUGUGCAUAGGGAUUUUUAAGAUGACUGGGUUGAAUUUAAGAUGACCAUUUUUACAUGGUUGAGUCUUUCAUCAGGAACACAGUAUACCUCUCCAUUCGUUUAAGUCUUUUAUGUCCCACAAUAAGAAUCUGAACAUUUUAUAUUAUCACCUGCAUUUUUUCAGUUAAGUUUAUCCCUGGGUAGUUUACGUUUGUGCCAUUUUUAUGAUAUUACCAAUGUUGGUGUGUGCUAACGAGUGGCUUUUUUAGCAUAGUAGAUAAGAGCCCUGGGUCAGUUGUCCUGAGUCUGAAUCAGGGUUCACUUUCUUGCUAUGUGACAUUAGGCAAAUUAACCUUUCUUAGCCGGAGUUUCUUAUCUCAUCUCACCUGCAAAACAUACAUAACAUACCAUGAGCUUUAUUGUUUUGUAAACAAUAAAUGAGAAAAUGCAGGUGAAAUACCAUACUCCAGGCCUGACACACAGACACAUGAAUGAAUGUUAGUAAUCCUUAUUUUGCAGGUUUUACAUAAGUAGCCAGUGUUUGUUGGUAAAACACUAGCAUGAAUAUUGUUUCAAAUAUCCAAAGGCUUUCAGCAACCAUGUUCCAAAACAAACUUUAAAUUUCUAAGGAGAAGCAUUUUGAAGGCUCACUGUGGGACACUGUCCAUCAACAAGAACUUGUUUAACUUAAAGCACCAAAGAGGAAAAGAAGCUCAAGCUAUGGUGCCCACUGCCACAGCUCUGUGGACCGUGAGCAACGGACAAAGCUCUGCUACUAGUUGCCUCGCCUGUGGGACAUCAGGCCACUCCCAGAGUGUAGCAGCUCUUACUGGUGCUGGGAUGGACAUCAGGCAUGUCAGUAAAGCAGCAAGCUGGGACCUGGCCUGCCACUUGUGCCUGGAGGCAUUCUCUCCCAAAUGCUCCUUCCUUUAUUUAGUUAGAUAUGUUUCCUGCUGUCUUUUUGGCUAUUUAUUUUCUCUGUGGAAUCAUCAAAUAAACCUAGACAUUUUUAAUUCUGAAAAGUCCUAGAGUUCUCUGUUAAAAAGAUCUUAGCAAACUGUCACAGAAUUGCAACACAUCAAAUAAGUGAUCCCUUUUCAAACCUUUAGUUUGAAAGCAGUUUUGGUAACUUAACUAUGAUGGUAACAUUAGCAAGCAAUUUUUCUAGGAAUGUUAGACAGAUAUUUUAAGAAUGUGGGCCAAGUGUGGUGGCAAAUGCCUGUAAUCCUAGCAACUUGGGAGGCCAGGGCACUUGAGCCUCAAGGACCACUUGAGCCCAUGAGUUCGAGACCAGCCUGGGGAACAUAGUGAGACACUGUCUCUACAAAAAAUUCAAAAAUUAGCUGGGCAUGGUGGCUCGUGUCAGUAGUCCCAGCUAUUAAAAGUAAUGGCAAAAACUGCAAUUACUUUUGCACCAACCUUAUACCUUAUGUUUGGGUGGCUGAGGUGGGAGGGUUGCCUGAGACUGAGAAGGUUGAGGCUGUAGUGAGCUGAGAUCACACCACUGCACUCUAGUCGUCUGGG
This 5260-nucleotide long non-coding RNA is filed under the name Homo sapiens (human). RNAcentral's name for it is "HSALNT0322983". Lineage: Eukaryota; Metazoa; Chordata; Mammalia; Primates; Hominidae. The record is from RNAcentral.